Molecule: ribosomal RNA, 586 nt
Filed under: uncultured bacterium
Lineage: Bacteria
Description: bacterial SSU rRNA
Rfam family: Bacterial small subunit ribosomal RNA
Source: RNAcentral
CCUACGGGAGGCAGCAGUGGGGAAUCUUGCACAAUGGAGGAAACUCUGAUGCAGCGAUGCCGCGUGAGUGAAGAAGGCCUUUGGGUUGUAAAGCUCUUUUGUAGGGGAAGAUAAUGACUGUACCCUAAGAAUAAGGUCCGGCUAACUUCGUGCCAGCAGCCGCGGUAAUACGAAGGGACCUAGCGUAGUUCGGAAUUACUGGGCGUAAAGCGCGCGUAGGCCGUUGAGUUAGUUAAUUGUGAAAUCCCAAAGCUUAACUUUGGAACUGCAAUUAAAACUGCUCGACUAGAGUUUGAUAGAGGAAAGCGGAAUACAUAGUGUAGAGGUGAAAUUCGUAGAUAUUAUGUAGAACACCAGUUGCGAAGGCGGCUUUCUGGAUCAACACUGACGCUGAGGCGCGAAAGUAUGGGUAGCAAAGAGGAUUAGAUACCCUCGUAGUCCAUACCAUAAACGAUGAUUGCUAGAUGUUGGAAAUUUAUUUUCAGUAUCGCAGCUAACGCAUUAAGCAAUCCGCCUGGGGAGUACGACCGCAAGGUUAAAACUCAAAUGAAUUGACGGCUGAGAGNGCGAGACGACACGAGGAGAG